GUUAGUUACUGACCACAUACUUUUGUGGUCUGGUUAACUGUGAACUAUUUAUUGUCCUCAAUUAAAACCCAUCUCCCCCAAUAAAUAAUCCACAUGUCCCACAACCCCCUUGACCACGUUGGACACGGCGUCCACCGCUUUUCGGAUGAAUCCUCUCUUUAAUUCGCCAGCUUCGGGACGAUACGCCGUACAUUUGAACCACAUGACUCGGGACGAUUGCGGGUAUGGAGGAUCCGUUUCGGCCACCUGCAGGAAUUCACGGUUACAUAAAUAAAUUAUUAUUAACACGCCGACUUUAGUAAAUAAAAUCCAGUUUUAGUCUGAAAA
This is a long non-coding RNA of Folsomia candida, 327 nucleotides long. RefSeq lists it as uncharacterized. The transcript has 2 exons. The record is from RefSeq and is a predicted model, not a curated record. Lineage: Eukaryota; Metazoa; Arthropoda; Collembola; Entomobryomorpha; Isotomidae.